CUCCGGCCCCGCUCCGCCGUCAGCCCGCUCCCAGCCCGCCGCAGGCCGCUCCCCGCCGCCAGGCCCCGCUCCCAGCCUGCCCCGCGGCGGGGCGGGGCCAGGCCGCCAUCUUGAAAAGGUCGGUGGGAGGCGGGCCCGCUCGGUGAGGGCGCCGCCAUCUUGGGGAGGUGCGCGCGACCGGCGGCGAGGCGCCAUCUUGGGGAAGUGGCGUCGUUGCGGCGUGAGAUUGAAACACUUUCUGGAAAAGAGCCCAAUUUCUGCACGUCAGCAGGAAGACGGGAAGUCAGAGCCUUGGGAAUCACGAGAUGAGCGCAAAUCGGAAGUACUGGAGAUUGAUCCUCAGUUAAUACCUCCCUCAGCAGCACAGCCAGAGGUCUUUUGGAAGUCUGUGUGUGUGUUACAAUCCACUAGUAGAACUUUCCAGGCAGCUCGAGCGAUGAAGUAA
Molecule: long non-coding RNA, 445 nt
Filed under: Pavo cristatus (Indian peafowl)
Lineage: Eukaryota; Metazoa; Chordata; Aves; Galliformes; Phasianidae
Description: lncRNA (ENSPSTG00000000115.1)
Source: RNAcentral